UAAUGCAACUUAUCACUGCUCAUUACAGUAAGCUUUGUUUUAUCAAUUUGAUACAUGUACAUCUUUUUGUGAAUUUAAUUUGAUAGACUUCUCAUGAAGCUGGAUUUUUCCACUGAAAGAUUAUUGCAUGUGUAUUGAAUAACGAUAUUAAUGAUGAUGUUUUUAAUAUUGCAACUUCUUUAUUUUGUUAAAGCCAGGUUGGUUUUGAUUUUUGGAAUUAAAAAAAAUGGCAUAUGAGUGACCGUUUCAUGAAAAUAUUCUGAACCGUUGAUAUGGGAAAAUGAAUUCUAAUGGCAAAUUUUUGUUGUCCCAUAUAUGUAUUUUACACAAAAAUUAUGCCAGAAAAUUCCAGGUGCAAAAUCCAGUUGGUGUGGCCUUCUAUUGUCUGUGUUGGCUUUUUAUUGUUUGUUUAAUUAUAUAUCUAUGAUGUGUUGAUAUUGAAAUUCACUGUUUACAAGUUGAAGUUUCUGUAAAUAAAAAAAUGUUAUCAUUCUCUUA
This is a long non-coding RNA of Mytilus californianus (California mussel), 498 nucleotides long. RefSeq lists it as uncharacterized. The transcript is spliced from 2 exons. The record is from RefSeq and is a predicted model, not a curated record. NCBI's taxonomy places the organism in Eukaryota, Metazoa, Mollusca, Bivalvia, Mytilida, Mytilidae.